This 274-nucleotide ribosomal RNA is filed under the name uncultured bacterium. RNAcentral describes it as "partial 16S ribosomal RNA". It matches the Rfam family "Bacterial small subunit ribosomal RNA", at positions 523 to 796 of the family's 1533-position model. The record is from RNAcentral.
AUACGGAGGGUGCAAGCGUUAAUCGGAAUUACUGGGCGUAAAGCGUGCGUAGGCGGUUUAUUAAGUCAGAUGUGAAAGCCCCGGGCUUAACCUGGGAACUGCAUUUGAUACUGGUAGACUAGAGUAUGGUAGAGGGGGGUAGAAUUCCUAGUGUAGCGGUGAAAUGCGUAGAUAUUAGGAGGAAUACCAGUGGCGAAGGCGGCCCCCUGGACCAAUGCUGACGCUGAGGUACGAAAGCGUGGGGAGCGAACAGGAUUAGAUACCCCGGUAGUCC